GCCGGGCGUGGUGGCGGGCGCCUGUAGUCCCAACUUCUCAGGAGGCUGAGGCAGGAGAAUGGCUUGAACCCAGGAGGCGGAGGUUGCAGUGAGCAAAGAUUGUGCCACUGCACUCCAGCCUGGGCGACAGAGUGAGAUUCUGUCUCAA
Molecule: unclassified non-coding RNA, 148 nt
Organism: Macaca fascicularis (crab-eating macaque)
Lineage: Eukaryota; Metazoa; Chordata; Mammalia; Primates; Cercopithecidae
Rfam family: Metazoan signal recognition particle RNA
About the family: The signal recognition particle (SRP) is a universally conserved ribonucleoprotein.
Source: Ensembl